CGCGGGGUAGAGCAGUUCGGUAGCUCGUCGGGCUCAUAACCCGGAGGUCGUGUGGUUCAAAUCCCACCCCCGCAACCA
Molecule: transfer RNA, 78 nt
Filed under: Clostridia bacterium
Lineage: Bacteria; Bacillati; Bacillota; Clostridia
Description: tRNA-Met
Rfam family: tRNA
About the family: Transfer RNA (tRNA) molecules are approximately 80 nucleotides in length. Their secondary structure includes four short double-helical elements and three loops (D, anti-codon, and T loops). Further hydrogen bonds mediate the characteristic L-shaped molecular structure. tRNAs have two regions of fundamental functional importance: the anti-codon, which is responsible for specific mRNA codon recognition, and the 3' end, to which the tRNAs corresponding amino acid is attached (by aminoacyl-tRNA synthetases). tRNAs cope with the degeneracy of the genetic code in two manners: having more than one tRNA (with a specific anti-codon) for a particular amino acid; and 'wobble' base-pairing, i.e. permitting non-standard base-pairing at the 3rd anti-codon position.
Source: RNAcentral